GCUAGCCCCAGGAAAUUUACCACAAGGUAAUUUUGAUAACCCAACAAGACAAUAAACCGAAAAGAUAAAAGCGAGACAAGAACACCAGAACACCAGAUAUACGUGGUUCGGUCAAUUGACUUUGACCUGCAUCCACGGACGAAAGAGGAGCAAAUUACUACUGCAAAAGAGGGACAAUUACAAAUGCCUUAGGAAGAUGUUCCUAGGCCAUAAAACACCCGA
This 222-nucleotide long non-coding RNA is filed under the name Musa acuminata (dwarf banana). Its description in RNAcentral is "long non-coding RNA (MACU_LNC009456)". The record is from RNAcentral. Lineage: Eukaryota; Viridiplantae; Streptophyta; Magnoliopsida; Zingiberales; Musaceae.